ACAAAACAAAACAAACAAAAAA
This 22-nucleotide small RNA is filed under the name Arabidopsis thaliana (thale cress). RNAcentral's name for it is "ATSL240850". Lineage: Eukaryota; Viridiplantae; Streptophyta; Magnoliopsida; Brassicales; Brassicaceae. The record is from RNAcentral.